CAACUCCACAGAUGGUCUCACCAUUCACUUCAUCUCCUGGAUUUCAGUUGCCCUCCAUGUAAUGCUGGGACCCAGGGUGGGUUGGGGGGUGAAUGUCAGUCCUGGGCAGUAGAGUGUCACCAUCUGCUGUGAUGAUGUCACUCUGAGCCAAGCAUGUCAGCUGAAGUCGCAGCACAUCAGUGUCUUUCCAUGCAGGCUGUGAGUGUUGGGAGCAGAGGGCUUCUGAAGCCUUUUGUGUCAGUAUCUCUGAGCACAGGAAACAGGUGGGAAGAUGUUAAAGGCUCUGAGAAGUCCUUCAGUGAAGAUUAAUUCAAAACUCUCCAAAAAUACCUGACCCUAACCAAGGACCGUCUCCUGGUAACCUGAUGAAGUUAGGUUUUGCAGACCAAGUCCUCAUUUGGGUAAGAAGAGAGCUGCCUCCUCAAGCAUCCUGGCUUUUGGAGCAUCCCUCCUCAUAGAGCAUCCUGGCCCCUGGAGCAUCCUUCCUCCUGGAGCAUCCCUCCUUCUGGAGCAUCCCUCCUUCUGGAGUACUCCUGGUCUCCUAGAGUAUCCUGGCCCCUGGAGCAUCCUUCCUCCUGUAGCAUCUCUUCUCCUGGAGCAUCCCUCCUUCUGGAGUACUCCUGGUCUCCUGGAGUAUCCUGGCCCCUGGAGCAUCCUUCCUCCUGGGAUAUCCUGGCACCUCUGCCCUUUAUUUCCCCAGCAACCAUUUCAUUUACUUCUUAAAUUUAUGUUUGUUUGUUUUAAUGUUAGAGAAGAAAGUGACAUGGCCUGUUCCCACCCUGACAUAGUCUCCACUGCUCCGAGAGAAUUGCCUAUUCACUGACUUCAAACAUGGCAAAUCUACCUCUGCCUUCUUCCUGUCCUACUGUCCUCUCAGAUCACUUACACAGAUCACUUUUUCACUCACCGUGGGUCUCAGAUACCAUCUUGGCAGUGGGCAAAGUGACCACUGAGUUCUGUCUUUUCUGACUUCUGAAUCUGAGCAGGCUCUUUGCCUUGGCCACUCCCCACAUCCAGCAGAGUGUGCCUCCCCAUGGGACUCAUCACCUUUUCCCUCGACAUACACCUUUUGUAUGUGCCUGAAUCCCUCUGCCACAUCCUUCCUAUAGACGAGUAUUUUUUUUUCUGUCUUGUUCCCGGUGGUACAGCAGUGCCUGGAACACAAUACAUGCUUAGUAAACAGUUGUCAGGUGAAUUAACAUGUGUACUCACAGAAGAAACAUACGUGCACUUUUUCUUUUCACUAGACUUUCUUUAGCGUUUAGCAAUAUUCCUAUAUUAGCCACCACAGAAACUUUUAUAAAAUCUUGCAUGUGUAUGUGGUACAUAUGUUUGGGGAUGCAUGUUGUGCUAUAUGUAUGGAAGUCAGAGGACAAUCCCAAGUGUUUCUAAUUUCUCUUCUUCUACCUUGUUUGAAACACUGUCUCUUAUUGACUGCUAUAAGUUUAGGGGGCUCUCAAGCCUCUAGAGAUCUCUUGGCCCCCACUUCCCAUCUUGCAGUAGGAUUGCUGGCAUUAUAGCCAGGCAUGCUACCACAUCCGGCUCUUGUGUGGGUUCUGGAAACACAAACUGGGGACUUCAUGCUUGCAUGGCUGUCUCUUGACUCACUCAGCCACCUCUGCAGCCUCACGCAGAGCCUUGUGAAAAUGCUGUAUCACGUUUCAGUUCAGGGAUGUCCUGAGUCAUAAAAAAGGAUUCCAUGUGGAUUUUUUCCCCCUCUUUGAACGGUGGUGAAUGGGAAAGAAUGUCAUAUUGUGUGUUAACAGUCCUGUGUGGUAAAUUCCCAGGCAUGGGCUUCCUGAGUGAGAGUGGUUUUCUCUAACCUUUAAUAGAUCUUACCAAGCUGUCUUCCGAUGAUCCUGCACAGAUUUCCCUUUCAUUGCAGAGCAGGACAGGGUCUGUUUUCUCACCUGCUUAUAGUACUGGACACCAAUGCCAUGUAUCUGUGCUGAUCAGAAAGGUGGGCAAUGACAGGCUCGUGAUUUGGGUUACAUUUUUUUUUAAUUGCAAAACGUUAAGAACUCUUACAAACUUCCACUGGCCAUCUCUGUUUAUUUUUCUUUCUCUCCUUUCUUUCUUUUUAAAAGCUUACUGUCUUCCAUCUGUCUUUUGCUGGAUUUUCUCCUCAAGGCAUAUUGUUUCCUGAUAAACAGGUUUGAAAGAAAUCUUUAAGACAAUGGUUAUCCCUGUUAUCAAGUUGUUCAGUCCGCUGUGUGUGUUUAUGACAUUUCAUUUUUCUUUUUUUAUAUUUGAGUUUCACAUAUUUUACUGUGAGAUGCUAUAUACUAUUUUAUAGUAACCCACAAUGUCGUAGGUCUCCUUGAGGCACUGUCAUACCUACCAUGUCUUGGUUGACACUCUACCCAACUGCUCUUCUUCCUCCUUUCCUGACUCUAAACCCUCCUACGUCCGGGAUUUCUCAGUUCACUCUCAUAUCAUAUGUGUGCUCUAACCUACACCCCUUCUCUUCCUUAAAGCCUCUGUUUCCCUCUCAUGGCCCCAUUCCAGGUUCCUGGUGUUCACCACCUUGGGGAGAAGCUCCAUAGGCACUGGGGACAGUGGGUGCGAUGCCGUUGGUAGAAUGUUCUAGACGGCUUCUGGAUCUAGUUCCCCUACUGGUCAUCUAUCUGAUUGCUGGUUGUUGAUUGAUUGAUUGUUCUACUAUGACGACAGAGGGAAGAUCCAUCAGUCUGUCCACUCUAUUCAGCCUCUGUCAGGAGCUGUGAUGUUUGGCACAUAUACAUGCAUGAUGGCUCUUCUGUCAUGAAGAGCUGAAUGGCACUAACCCCCGUAUACUGUUUGUGCUUUGUAAACUCACACAGCAAUUCUUUUGAUGAUUUCUGGGGAUAGUCUUAUUCAGAAAGGCUAUGUCUACUUGGCACUCUCUACAUUUAUAUUUGCUGUGUUUCCAUGUCUGCCUUGAAGGUUGACCCUUACCACCUGGGCCGACUGUGCCUCUUCUUGAGGUAUUCCCUUGCCAGCCUUCUUGUUUAGUUCUCUGAUCUUAUUCUGGCACGCCCAGUGUCUUCUCUGACUGUCUUGCUGCAAUGUGUCUCUAAAGACUCUGUUACGUGUCCCAGAUCUCCUCCAGAUGGCUCCUUCUGUGAUGGCUGCCUUUCAUGUCGGAUCCACUGGAAAUAGCUAAGGUGAGGUGAGAUACACAACAGUACAAACAGGCCAGCGAACCAGGAAAGCACCAAAGGUGAAGGAAGGGGUCAUGGACCCAGAUAAGAAAGAGGGAAGAGGGGGGCAGAGGGGCAGCUAGGUUAUCUGAGGAGUUAAUGAACACACCUGCCCCCCUUUUCUGGAGUUCCCAGCAGGAGAUCAAAGGGUCCCUGGGACAGGAGGAUGAACCCAGGAGGCAAAGGAGUGAGAAGAUCUUGGACUGUUUCCAGGAGCAAUUUUGGGAACUUUUUUUUUUUUUUAAUCAGCCAGAACUGAUGGAUGGAUGGGUUAGGGCUCAUUCAACCCCAGUCAAAGUGUGGGCAUGUGGCUGGGCUUAGAUUCCAGAGGUAUUGGUUAGGAGACAGGUAAGGCAAGUACAAGAGAAGCGGGUGCCCUGUGUGCUCCAGACCCUCUGCCCACAGAGACCAGGGAGCAGGAAGCCAGGGUCAGCUAGAUCUGGGAGGGUGCUGUAAGUUGGAGCAGGUCACUAGGUCAGCAUGUCCAGCACUCACCUGUAGGCCCACUAUGUGCUGAGAGCUCAGACGAAGGUUAUGUUCCUUCUCUGACUCUGUCACACCUGAAGCUGGGUGCCUUGGAGUCCCUCUUAUACAGAGUGUGCUGAACUAUGCGGGUGGCUGGUACCUACCCUCCUCCCCUGUAGGCUCAGGAGGAGGCUGGUGAAAGACAUACUAAUCAGGAUUCCCAAGGCCAGCAGAAGACACGUGGGUGGGAUGUGCAGAACCAACUGUCCCUUGUGCUAUAGCUCUGGGGAAUGACAGAUUGAGUGGGGAAAGGAGCAUCCAGUGCCUAUGUACCCAGGGGACUAUUGGUGGAGGAGAGCCUAAGGCAGCUUGUGAGCCUGGCCAUGUGCUGCUGUGGCCUGAGGCCUGGCUGUUCUCUGGGUUUGGUGCAGUAGAAGCAAUUAGAGGUUUUGGAAUCAGGGAAGGGCGAGAGUUCUGUGGCUACCUGAGUUCACCUCAAGGAACAGCUGAGACCGGGGCAAGAAAUUCACGAACAUCAGGGGCCCGUGACUGCGCCUGAGCCAUGGUGUCCUCAGAAAGAGCUCAGGGCCUACAGUCACUGCGUGUGCUUCCACUCCUGCCCUGGCAGGUCUCACACAAGGACCUGGCACAGGUGUCUGUAGUCUGUGUGUUUGGAAACAGAGAAGAGAUAACUCAAGUGUCUAAUGUUACAAAAGGGGUCCUUGGUGUGCCUGAGGAAAAGACUGGUGGUGUCCAUGCCAGGGAAGGGGACUUUUGCCUCGAGGGUGGAGAGAGUAAAGGCCAUUCAUUGUGCCAUAUCCAUCUGCACCAGGUAUCACACCCCCUGGACAGACGCAUGUUCUCUGACACAGAUAUACGUAUGCACAAAGACUGACAAUGACAGAAACACUUGCACAUGUGCAAGCAUGCGCGUGCGCGCGCGCACACACACACACACACACACACACACACACACACACACACACACACUAGCACAUACAGAUAUGCUAUAGAAACACAUGUGCACAUACACCCCAAUGUGGAGACCUCUCUCAUCGGAGGUCACACAAACACAACAGGGAACACACCGACUUUCUCCCCAGAGCCCUAGUUCUAGAACAGAAGGAAAAGCUGUUCAAAUAAUGCCGGCUGCCACCCAGUGACCUUGCUCUGUACUCCUGUCGGAUGUCGGAUGUUGAGGACAAUGAUUAAUUCCUGGCUCCCAGUGACAGCUGCGAGGAUCAGGGAAGCAUGGUGUCCUAAGAUCUUCAAGGCCAGAGUGCUCCAGGAUGAGACAUUUUGAAACAAUGCUCAGAAUGACAUAAAGUUUGAACAAGGGCCAAACUUUAGCCCACCAUAGAACCCUAACCACCAGCUUCUCCUUGUGUCCCGGUGAGCAGCCCCUUAACCACUGGCAAGUGACAGCUCAAUUUGGCUUGCUUGGCUUCGGUUUACUCACAAAGAGAAUGGUGCCUCCUUUCUCAUCAGAUCUGUGAAGUGCUACUAUGGACAGUCAGGGAAAGAAUGAUCUCCAGUACCUCUUUGUGUGUGUGUGUGUGAGUGUGUGUGUAUGUGUGUGUGUGUGUGUGUGUGUGUGUGUGUGUGUGUGUGUGUGUGUGUGUGAGUGUGUGUGUGAGUGUGUGUGUGACUCCCAGUGAAUAGUCUCAACAGAAGGACACCAUCCCUCACAAUGGCACAUGGGCUACUGAGAUGGAAAAAAAAACAUACCAAAUCAAAAUAGACUUUAUCAUCCCCAAGAAGAAUACAGAGGUCAUGAGUGUGAUGAUUUCACAGAAGUCACACAUCUGGUGUGUAUCAGUCUCAACUAGAACCCAGGUCCUGACACCCUUCAGUCCAGAGUCAGUGCAGCCGUUAGGAUGGUCUCAACUUUGGUGGAGCUGGGGAAGGUCGGAGCGACUAGGUCAUUGAUAUAAGGAGAAGUGUGGCUUUUAAAGAAAUACUUGGUGUGUGUUGAUUACUGAGUCCUUGGAAAUCACACAACUAUGACAUUCUUUUUUAUCUAAAAUGUAACAAUCUUAUGAUUCAAGUCAGUGCUUUCUGUCCACAUUUAUUCAGGGAGUUAGGGUUGGGGUGGGGUAUGAUCUGCAGAUGAAGCAGGCAGCACUCCCACAGUACACAAGUGUUCUGAGCAGUAGGUGCAUUUCCUGGGAAGGGGAUUCUGUCUGCUGCAGGCAGUUAGCAAGGCUGAGGGUGAAGAGAUGCAGGAAACCUGCCUCUGCACUCUCCCACCACUCCAAUCCCCUCCCCCUUCUCCCAGCAUAGAUGCCUCCAGCCUUUCAGAAAGGGCAAACAGAGAGGGCCCAGCCUGGCUCCACAAUAUUGCAAUUCCCCUUCUCCUGGUAGUUCUCUCUUCUCCCUAAUGACCCUUUCAACACUCCCCUCCCUCUCCCACCACCAGGGGAGCAGCAGAUGGUGGCUUUGGGUACAGACAAAGGCAACAUAUCCCAGCCUCUGUGUCACCAAGGCUGGCACUCUCCUUGAUAACAUUUCUCUGGUGCAGAUGGCUCCUGUCCUUGAGAGAAAUAAGGAUCAAACAUCCUUGAAAAGAUAAGUGCCCCACCCUUGGGCCAUGAGAGAAGGGCAAUUAAGUGUCCCCAGACAGCCCUGGCCAGUUUGUAAAAACACACUAGUUCCUGAUAGCACCAUAAAGUUACUUCCCAGGUCAGAAGAGCCCCCUCCCAGUCGCACAAUUCUGCACUGUCUGAACAAACGACAUCAGGUUUGAAAGAAUGACUUCCUCUUGUCACCUCCCCUGUCAUGUAACCCAAGGAUCCCUGCUUAUGCAUAUGCACGUAUAAAAACUCCAAGCCUCUGAACUGGAACAGCGAGCAUCCCGUUCCUAACCUGUGCAGUGGGAAAGGUUUUUGAUCCUUGUAUGACUCGAAUAAAGGCUCUUCAGUUAUAUUACA
This is a long non-coding RNA of Mus musculus (house mouse), 6577 nucleotides long. RefSeq annotates it as predicted gene, 46373. Lineage: Eukaryota; Metazoa; Chordata; Mammalia; Rodentia; Muridae. The record is from RefSeq and is a predicted model, not a curated record. The transcript has 2 exons.